GUAGGUGGCAAGCGUUGUCCGGAAUUAUUGGGCGUAAAGCGCGCGCAGGCGGUCCUUUAAGUCUGAUGUGAAAGCCCACGGCUCAACCGUGGAGGGUCAUUGGAAACUGGGGGACUUGAGUACAGAAGAGGAAAGCGGAAUUCCAAGUGUAGCGGUGAAAUGCGUAGAGAUUUGGAGGAACACCAGUGGCGAAGGCGGCUUUCUGGUCUGUAACUGACGCUGAGGCGCGAAAGCGUGGGGAGCAAACAGGAUUGGGAUACCCUGGUAGUCCACGCCGUAAACGACGAGUGCUAAGUGUUAGGGGGUUUCCCGCCCCCUUAGUGCUGCAGCUAACGCAUUAAGCACUCCGCCUGGGGGAGUACGGCCGCAAGGCUG
This 375-nucleotide ribosomal RNA is filed under the name uncultured organism. Its description in RNAcentral is "partial 16S ribosomal RNA". It matches the Rfam family "Bacterial small subunit ribosomal RNA", at positions 527 to 896 of the family's 1533-position model. The record is from RNAcentral.